RNAcentral lists this ribosomal RNA (1217 nucleotides) under Acinetobacter sp. RNAcentral's name for it is "bacterial SSU rRNA". It matches the Rfam family "Bacterial small subunit ribosomal RNA", at positions 57 to 1270 of the family's 1533-position model. Lineage: Bacteria; Pseudomonadati; Pseudomonadota; Gammaproteobacteria; Moraxellales; Moraxellaceae. The record is from RNAcentral.
GCAGUCGAGCGGAGAGAGGUAGCUUGCUGCUGAUCUUACGGCGGACGGGUGAGUAAUGCUUAUGAAUCUGCCUAUUAGUGGGGGACAACAUUUCGAAAGGAAUGCUAAUACCGCAUACGUCCUACGGGAGAAAGCAGGGGAUCUUCGGACCUUGCGCUAAUAGAUGAGCCUAAGUCGGAUUAGCUAGUUGGUGGGGUAAAGGCCUACCAAGGCGACGAUCUGUAGCGGGUCUGAGAGGAUGAUCCGCCACACUGGGACUGAGACACGGCCCAGACUCCUACGGGAGGCAGCAGUGGGGAAUAUUGGACAAUGGGCGGAAGCCUGAUCCAGCCAUGCCGCGUGUGUGAAGAAGGCCUUAUGGUUGUAAAGCACUUUAAGCGAGGAGGAGGCUACUUUAGUUAAUACCUAGAGAUAGUGGACGUUACUCGCAGAAUAAACACCGGCUAACUCUGUGCCAGCAGCCGCGGUAAUACAGAGGGUGCAAGCGUUAAUCGGAUUUACUGGGCGUAAAGCGCGCGUAGGCGGCUAAUUAAGUCAAAUGUGAAAUCCCCGAGCUUAACUUGGGAAUUGCAUUCGAUACUGGUUAGCUAGAGUGUGGGAGAGGAUGGUAGAAUUCCAGGUGUAGCGGUGAAAUGCGUAGAGAUCUGGAGGAAUACCGAUGGCGAAGGCAGCCAUCUGGCCUAACACUGACGCUGAGGUGCGAAAGCAUGGGGAGCAAACAGGAUUAGAUACCCUGGUAGUCCAUGCCGUAAACGAUGUUUACUAGCCGUUGGGGCCUUUGAGGCUUUAGUGGCGCAGCUAACGCGAUAAGUAGACCGCCUGGGGAGUACGGUCGCAAGACUAAAACUCAAAUGAAUUGACGGGGGCCCGCACAAGCGGUGGAGCAUGUGGUUUAAUUUGAUGCAACGCGAAGAACCUUACCUGGCCUUGACAUAGUAAGAACUUUCCAGAGAUGGAUUGGUGCCUUUGGGAACUUACAUACAGGUGCUGCAUGGCUGUUGUCAGCUUGUGUCGUGAGAUGUUGGGUUAAGUCCCGCAACGAGCGCAACCCUUUUCCUUAUUUGCCAGCGAGUAAUGUCGGGAACUUUAAGGAUACUGCCAGUGACAAACUGGAGGAAGGCGGGGACGACGUCAAGUCAUCAUGGCCCUUACGGCCAGGGCUACACACGUGCUACAAUGGUCGGUACAAAGGGUUGCUACCUAGCGAUAGGAUGCUA